AUCCAGCUGACGAAUUCCUAAUAGGACGGAACGCAUGUCCUGGAU
Non-coding RNA from Schistosoma mansoni, 45 nucleotides. NCBI's taxonomy places the organism in Eukaryota, Metazoa, Platyhelminthes, Trematoda, Strigeidida, Schistosomatidae. The record is from Rfam.